Molecule: ribosomal RNA, 460 nt
Filed under: uncultured bacterium
Lineage: Bacteria
Description: partial 16S ribosomal RNA
Rfam family: Bacterial small subunit ribosomal RNA
Source: RNAcentral
CCUACGGGAGGCAGCAGUGAGGAAUAUUGGUCAAUGGGCGCUAGCCUGAACCAGCCAAGUAGCGUGAAGGAUGACUGCCCUAUGGGUUGUAACCUUCUUUUAUAUGGGAAUAAAGUGCAGUCUGUAUACUGCUUUGCAUGUACCUUCUGAAUAAGGAUCGGCUAACUCCGUGCCAGCAGCCGCGGUAAUACGGAGGAUCCGAGCGUUAUCCGGAGUUAUUGGGUUUAAAGGGAGCGUAGGCGGGUUGUUAAGUCAGUUGUGAAAGUUUGCGGCUAAACCGUAAAAUUGCAGUUGAUACGGGCAUCCGUGAGUACAGUAGAGGUAGGCGGAAUUCGUGGUGUAGCGGUGAAAUGCUUAGAUAUCACGAAGAACUCCGAUUGCGAAGGCAGCCUGCUGGACUGUAACUGACGCUGAUGCUCGAAAGUGUGGGUAUCAAACAGGAUUAGAUACCAGUGUAGUC